AAAAUUUUAAAGGUCGAACAGACCUAACCUUUUAGCCCCUACACCAAAAGUUAAUUUUAAUCCAACAUCGAGGUCGCAAACUCUUUUUUCGAUAAGAACUCUCAAAAAAAAUUACG
Molecule: ribosomal RNA, 116 nt
Filed under: Thaumastopeus shangaicus
Lineage: Eukaryota; Metazoa; Arthropoda; Insecta; Coleoptera; Scarabaeidae
Description: partial 16S ribosomal RNA
Source: RNAcentral